UGUAGUAUGAUAGAUACUGUCCAAAUAAAAUAAAUAAGCUACACAUACUACGGCAGUACAAAAGACGUCCCGACCGCGACGGUACACACUUUUUGCUUGUAAGUUUUUGAAUAACCGAAACCUAAAAAGUUAUUUUGUUACACCAUCAGCAUCAAUGAAAGGCAAACCCAUUGUUGUUUUUUUUAUAUAUUUUUUUUUGUUGGCGCCCACUUGGGCCAGCGCACAGUGAUUCACUCUAAGGCCAUAAAUCGAAAAAUGUCAUCGGCUUAUCCCCAUUAGAUCUACUUACUAAGUGAUUAACAAGUUAAGAAGCUUCCGAAAACUCUAAAUACCAGUGUCAUAAGGUCAACUUAUUAUUCACUUUUGUGCAUCGGAAGUUAGCGCAUCUCGAGUCUAAUUAUCGCAACGUGUGAGUCAUCAAAACUUAACACUUUGUUUUUGAGUGUCACUAUUCCAAAUCAAGUGUUUACGUAUGGUGACAGUAUGGAGGUCCAAGACCAAGGUAAAGUUUUCAAAUGUUCUGUUUCGAGGACGACUAUUUUUGACAUUUGGCACUCUAAAGAGGGUAGUCCAAAUGAAAAAUGCAACAUGUCCUGAAUACUUUUACAGAAACAUCGUGCCUUUCGGAUGACAUCGAAAAUAUCAAACUAGAGACUUUAAGUAAUAAAAUUAUGAAUGUAUGUAAACGAAUUUCUCAUUAUUGGGCAAUAUCAAAUCGUAGUAGGUCUAAGUUUAUAGAGAAAUAUUCAGAUUGGCUGAAUGUAGUUGAAAAUAUUGAUGUAGAGCGAAUUGAGUUACAUGUAUCUCAGAAGUCUGACAAAGUUGAACCAUCAACUUCUUCAUUCAGAUCCCUUAUUAACAGGUUUACGAAAGUUACCUGUCAAAAACAAAAGGUGUACUAUCAAAAAUUGUACUAGAUUUGUUAUCUGUUUGUAGUAAAUACUUUUGAGCUUGAAUGUAUUCUGGUAUAUUUUGUGUUUUGUGUGUAUUUGCAAAAAAGGUUGUUCGUGUA
Helicoverpa armigera (cotton bollworm) is the source of this 1012-nucleotide long non-coding RNA. RefSeq lists it as uncharacterized. The transcript is spliced from 2 exons. The record is from RefSeq and is a predicted model, not a curated record. NCBI's taxonomy places the organism in Eukaryota, Metazoa, Arthropoda, Insecta, Lepidoptera, Noctuidae.